AGGACAUUAGCUCAGUUGGUAGAGCGUCGGUCUCCAAAACCGAAUGUCGGAGGUUCGAGUCCUUCAUGUCCUGCCA
Molecule: transfer RNA, 76 nt
Filed under: Bacteroides sp.
Lineage: Bacteria; Pseudomonadati; Bacteroidota; Bacteroidia; Bacteroidales; Bacteroidaceae
Description: tRNA-Trp
Rfam family: tRNA
About the family: Transfer RNA (tRNA) molecules are approximately 80 nucleotides in length. Their secondary structure includes four short double-helical elements and three loops (D, anti-codon, and T loops). Further hydrogen bonds mediate the characteristic L-shaped molecular structure. tRNAs have two regions of fundamental functional importance: the anti-codon, which is responsible for specific mRNA codon recognition, and the 3' end, to which the tRNAs corresponding amino acid is attached (by aminoacyl-tRNA synthetases). tRNAs cope with the degeneracy of the genetic code in two manners: having more than one tRNA (with a specific anti-codon) for a particular amino acid; and 'wobble' base-pairing, i.e. permitting non-standard base-pairing at the 3rd anti-codon position.
Source: RNAcentral